ACCGGCAGCCAUAUCAUACCCUUUAGCCCAAGACUGGUUGUCCACUGAGCCUGGUCAGUACCUGGAUGGGAGACCUCCUAGGAAAACUAGGUUGCUGCUGGAA
Molecule: ribosomal RNA, 103 nt
Filed under: Sinocyclocheilus grahami
Lineage: Eukaryota; Metazoa; Chordata; Actinopteri; Cypriniformes; Cyprinidae
Source: RNAcentral